GACGAACGCUGGCGGCGUGCCUAAUACAUGCAAGUCGAACGCAUUUUCUUUCACCGUAGCUUGCUACACCGAAAGAAAAUGAGUGGCGAACGGGUGAGUAACACGUGGGUAACCUGCCCAUCAGCGGGGGAUAACACUUGGAAACAGGUGCUAAUACCGCAUAAUUCCAUUUACUGCAUGGUAGAUGGAUGAAAGGCGCUUUUGCGUCACUGAUGGAUGGACCCGCGGUGCAUUAGCUAGUGGGUGGGGUAACGGCCUACCAAGGCUGCGAUGCAUAGCCGACCUGAGAGGGUGAUCGGCCACACUGGGACUGAGACACGGCCCAGACUCCUACGGGAGGCAGCAGUAGGGAAUCUUCGGCAAUGGACGCAAGUCUGACCGAGCAACGCCGCGUGAGUGAAGAAGGUUUUCGGAUCGUAAAACUCUGUUGUUAGAAAAGAACAAGGAUGAGAGUGGAAAGUUCAUCCCUUGACGGUAUCUAACCAGAAAGCCACGGCUAACUACGUG
Molecule: ribosomal RNA, 507 nt
Filed under: uncultured bacterium
Lineage: Bacteria
Description: partial 16S ribosomal RNA
Rfam family: Bacterial small subunit ribosomal RNA
Source: RNAcentral